GAUGAAGAACGUAGCGAAAUGCGAUAAGUAAUGUGAAUUGCAGAAUUCAGUGAAUCAUCGAAUCUUUGAACGCACCUUGCGCCCUUUGGCUAUUCCGAAGGUCAUGCCUGUUUGAGUAUCAUGAACACCUCAACUCUCAUGGCUUGCCAUGAUGAGCUUGGACUUUUGGGGGUCUUGCUGGCCUGUGGUCAGCUCCUCUCAAAUGAAUUAGCCUGCCAGUGUUUGGUGGCAUCACAGGUGUGAUAACUAUCUACGCUUGUGGUUUUCCACCAGGUAACCUUCAGUGAUGAAGGUUCGCUGGGGCUCAUAAACGUCUCUCCUCAGUGAGGACAGCUCUUUGAACGUUUGAUCUCAAAUCAGGUAGGACUACCCGCUGAACUUAAGCAUAUCAAUAAGCGGAGGA
RNAcentral lists this unclassified non-coding RNA (403 nucleotides) under soil metagenome. RNAcentral describes it as "partial contains 5.8S ribosomal RNA, internal transcribed spacer 2, and large subunit ribosomal RNA". The stretch from base 1 to 121 matches the Rfam family "5.8S ribosomal RNA", at positions 35 to 154 of the family's 154-position model. The record is from RNAcentral.